RNAcentral lists this ribosomal RNA (406 nucleotides) under uncultured bacterium. Its description in RNAcentral is "partial 16S ribosomal RNA". It matches the Rfam family "Bacterial small subunit ribosomal RNA", at positions 30 to 526 of the family's 1533-position model. The record is from RNAcentral.
AUUGAACGCUGGCGGCAGGCCUAACACAUGCAAGUCGAACGAGUGGCGGACGGGUGAGUAAUGUCUGGGAAACUGCCUGAUGGAGGGGGAUAACUACUGGAAACGGUAGCUAAUACCGCAUACAAUCAGAUGUGCCCAGAUGGCAGUAGAUGGUUGGUGGGGUAACGGCUCACCAAGUCGACGAUCCCUAGCGGGUCUGAGAGGAUGACAGGCCACACUGGAACUGAGACACGGUCCAUCCUCCUACGGGAGGCAGCAGUGGGGAAUAUUGCGCAAUGGUCGCAAGCCUGAUGCAGCCAUGCCGCGUGUAUGAAGAAGGCCUUCGGUUUGUAAAGUACUUUCAGCGGGGAAGCGUUACCCACAGAAGAAGCACCGGCUAACUCCGUGCCAGCAGCCGCGGUAAUUC